This 75-nucleotide transfer RNA is filed under the name Rhamnusium bicolor. RNAcentral describes it as "tRNA-OTHER". The record is from RNAcentral. Lineage: Eukaryota; Metazoa; Arthropoda; Insecta; Coleoptera; Cerambycidae.
GGCUUCGUAGUCGAGUGGUAAGAACACUAGCCUUUCACCCUGAAGUCCCGGGUUCGAUCCCCGGUCGAGGAACUA